RNAcentral lists this long non-coding RNA (33651 nucleotides) under Lathyrus oleraceus (garden pea). RNAcentral describes it as "Pisum sativum (pea) long non-coding RNA (PSAT_LNC032032)". The record is from RNAcentral. Lineage: Eukaryota; Viridiplantae; Streptophyta; Magnoliopsida; Fabales; Fabaceae.
GAAACUUUAAAAAUAAUCAAUUUUCUUACCAGUGUGGAGAAUUUGGAGAUAGUGUAAAAUUACAUGCAAAAGGAGAAAAAGAGAUUAAAGCAACUGAAGUGUUUGGUGUGGGUUUAUUUACUUGAAGUUCAUUCAUGUUAACAAAAGUUGUAAAUAUAAUGAGGGACGAAACUAUUGAUGAAAGUGUGAAGGCAUGUGCCUCAUUAAUAUUUGAGCCUUACUCAUAUAUAUACACUAAUGUAUUUUGACAGUAGAUAUAAUUUUUUUUCCUGCAUUUCAAUGUGAAAAAGUUUAGAGAAAUAUUUGUGUAUUUAAAUGUUUAAAUUCUAUUGAUUUGUUUAUUGAAGGAGAAGAUUGGGUUUUCAUAUUAUAAGAAAAUCAGCAAAAAUUAAAAGUUGAUCAAAGUUGCUACAAAGUUUCUUUACAAUAUUUUUCAUACAAAUUAUUGUAUUUUUUACCAAGUGUAUGAUGAUUCUUUAUCGGUAAGAAAGUGUUGUACUUAUUACAAGUUGUUGUAAAUAUAAAAACUUGUUUUUCUAUUUGUUGGAAAGGUCAUUUGAAUCAGGAUGAUUCAAAUUCCACCAUAAUUGUUGGUGUUAAGAAAUCAAGGAAAUAGUGUGCUUCUUUGUUAUUGUUAUUGUUAUUGUUAUUGUUAUUGUAAGAGAAAUAGACUUGUACAAAAAUCUGACAAUAGUGAAAUAUUUUAUGGGAUGUAAGGGGUCUAGAUGCACUCUUGAUUGAAAAGGGGAACUAGUAUAACUCCUUGUGUUAUUUACUUUUUUUUCACUUUAGUUUUAUGUUUCUUAUUCAUUCAUAUGUUCAUAAUUUUGAAAAAUUUCAAUAAACCAUAAAAGUUCUUUAAAUCUCUACAAAAAAACCAUUAAAUCUAAUCCACCCCCUUCUAAGGUUGUGCACAAAAAAUACUAACAUUUAGCAUUAUAGCAGGUUAUAUAGGUAACUUGUUCCUAAAAUUCAGAAGAUGGCUUCCACAAAUCUAAUUUUUAGAGAUUGCGGUAGUAACAAUAAGCCUCAGUUGUUUUGUGCCGAGUCUUAUGAUUUUUGGAAGAUCCACAUGAGAGCAUAUCUUGAGGCACAAGGCGAUAAUAUUUGGGAUGUUGUAGAAAAUGGUUUGUUCAUUCCCACAAAUGUGGUCAAUGGCGUUGGUACAUACAAGAUCAAAAGUGCUUGGAUGAAGAUGAUAAGAAAAAAAUUCUCUAUGACGAGAAGACGAAGAACAUGCUUCAUUCUCAACUGGAAUGGAUGAGUUCUUUCGUAUUUCUCAAUGCAAAACAACGAAAGAAAUAUGAGAUACGUUAGAAGUCACUCAUGAAGAAACCGUGGAAGUGAAAAGAUAAAAAAUGAACACCUUAUCUAAAGAAUACGAAAUGUUUAGGAUGCAACCCCGAGAAUCAAUUCUUGAUCUGAAGAAAAGACUCACACACUUGACUAACAACUUAAUGGUGUAACACCCUGAAAUUUGAUUAAUCUAUUUAAUCAAAUUUUUUGUAUUUUUAUUUAAUUAUUUAGUAUGUGGUACUUUGUUAAUUAAAUAUAUUAUGAUUCUCGCUAUGCAGGGGUAUAACAACAACUUGAUGGCCCUCGUUAUGUGUACCACGUUGAUGAUUCUUCAUAUGGAGAGGAUGAAAAGCAUGAGGAAAUCAAGGGCAUGAAAGAGAGCUACAUGGUGCUCGAGAAGAUGUUGAGAGCCAUCGAAAGGGAUCAGGUCUUUGGUGCCGCCGCCAAAUAAAUGUGCUUAGUGCAUGGUCUAGUGAUCCAUGCAAAGUUAAAAACCUUGAAUUUGACAAAUAUAAGGGUCACUAUUUCCCCAAGAGCCAUAUCUGAAUGUAUUAUUGAAAGAUGGUCGCACAUGUUGAAAACGACAAGUUGAUGAUACACUAUUUCCAAGACAGUCUGAGCGAUGCAUCUUCUAAAUGGUACUUGAGUCUUAACCAAAGCAGAAUCUGAUGCUUCCAAGACCUACCUAACUCAUUUAUCAAACACUACAAGUAUAAUAUGGAUAUGGCACCAAAUAAAAGGCAAUUGCACAACAUGUCUUGUUAAACGAUAUGCCUAGAUCUAGAAGGCGGAAGGAGGGGGGGGGUGAAUAGAUUACAAGUUUAAAACUUGAAUCAAAAUUGGUUUUGAAAAAGUUUAUAGCGCGAAAGCAAGUUUCAAAAUUUUCCCGAUAAAAAAUCGUCUAGCCGAACUACUAUCAAAAGCUCGGAUAGCGUAGAGGUGUCAAUACAAUAAAAUAAUCCACAAGUCAAUAAACAAUAACUAAUCACAACUAGUUGAAGUAUAUAAUAUAUUUUACAUAUAGAGAGAGAGAGAGAGAGAGAGAGUGAGAGAGAGAAUACGCAAGGAUUUAUUUAGGCAGUUCCCUAAUCGACCUUGCUAUGGGUACGUAUGCCCUCAAUUCGAAUUCGAAUUGAGAUAUUAUAAUAAAUCUUACUUUGCAAAAUGCGUGUAUACAAGACAUAAAGAAAUUGAACUCUACAAACUCUAAGUAAGAAGACUCUUGAUUAUUGUCUUGGUUAAAUUCUUUUUUAAGAACCUCCAAAGCUUUGGAUGGAUGAUCUUCUCGAAAGAAGGCCCUCGUUCAUUUUUGUAUUGGAUGAAUUCCCUGUUAGGAAUCACUAAAAUCUUUGAUUGGAUGAAUUUCUAGUAAAAAAUCUCUAGAACUGUCACACAAAUUCUAAGGUGUCGUCAGGUCAUGUCUGAACUUGUUGAUAAAACUUUAUGAGAAUAUUAUAAAGUGUUGUCAGGUUAUGUCUAAACCUGUUGAUAAAACUCUCUUUGAAUAUUUCCCAUUGUUGUCAGUUCAUGUCUGAACCUAUUGAUAAAACCCCUUUGCAAUUCCCUAGUGUCUUUGCUCCAGCAAGAUUGUUAUCCCCAGUGAGUUUUCACCCUCAUUUUUGUUUCCUGUGGGCCAUCAUUACCAUAUGUAUCCAUCAUUCCCCACAUUUCUGUCUGUCUUUUAUUCGUCCAUUAUGAAAGCAUCCUACUAGGGUUCAUUUCAUAUCCUUAGCAAAUAAAAAUGAAAAACUCUCGCAUCCAUGCAUAUCAUAUCAUGUCAUAUGCAUUUAGGAUCAAAAUCCGGGUCUUUUUAGUAUUUAACUAUCUCCCGCUGUGAUCAUAUGAAGAGUUAUUCUUCUUCAUAUUCUCUGGUUGAAGAUACUUAAAUAGGGGCAAUUGUCACACCCUAAAUCACCGAAUCGAUACAUACAUCAUAACUUUUGCAUCUCUACAUAUCAUAUCAUACAUUUCAUGCCACAUAAUGCCUAAAAUGCCAAUCAAAAUAAAAUUUUGAAAAUACAGAAAAAUCAGUUGAAUUGAUUGACAAAUGUAUGAGAAAUUAGUGGGUGGCAAAUUUCAAGAUCGAGCUUGCAAACGUUUGUUUUAUUUAUCUACGAUUCAUGUAGUUUAACCUGGCAUGCUCGUUUUAUUUUUUCGACUACUUUUCCAAUCACAUUUUGAUCAGCCUGAGCCUUUUCAAUAGGGAUUUUCCACUUCAAAAUAUAACAAAAACAUGUAUGUUUCUGAGAAGUUUAUUUUGCGCUGAUCAUUGUAGUGCAUUCAAUUUAUUUUUUCUGGCACUUUUGCGCGUCAUUCUAUUUUUAUUCUUUUAUCAAAGUGUUCGAAAUAAUAAAAUAGAAUUUUCUACCAUUUUAUUUUUAUCAUAUUUAUUUAAGAAGGUGUGAAUUUUAGUUGUUUUAAUUGAUUUAAUUAGAUUAAAAUUAAUUAAAGCUCCUAGAAUGGACAACUUUGGUAUUUUAAAUUAUGUGUACUUUUUUUUAUUUAAUUUGGAUCAUUGAUUCAAAUUAAUGGAAAGUCCAUAUUUAGUUAUCCAUGUGUAUUUUUUUUUAUCAUCCAAUUAAAGAAUAGCAAUUAAAUAAAUAGAUUAAUAAAAGUAAAAAAAAUCAAAAUAUCUCUCUCCCUCCCAUUUGUUGACAGCUUACGCCCAUUCAUUGGGAUUUUGGGAGCACAAAAUCUGAUUUUCCUUUCUCAUCCAAGGACACAUGGCAGAAAUUAUUUGGAGAAUUUGAAACUAAGAGGACCAAUCCAUGUCAGGCAACACUGGUUCAAUUGAUAAAAAGGGAGUAGAUGGAGAAAAAGAAAAGGACGGUGAAAAAAAUUGAGAAGAGAAUAUCCUAUAUUCCCUUUUCACAUGACCAUUUUUUCCUCUCUGAACCUUCAACAACCGGAAUCCCUUUUCUUUUAUCCCCUUUGUUUUGAAAACAAAAACAACUCUCAACUUUUUUCCUUUUCUUUCUUCUCCGAUCAUCAAUCUCAUCUUCAUAACUCACCCACCGCGGCCUCACCUCUUCCAUUUAGUUCAUCCACCAUCACAAUGCCAACAUACUCCCUUCAAGAGUUACACCUUUCAUCUCAUCUCUGACCGACCGCUGUGUCAGAUCCAAAGACUCACAAAGCAGAUUACCGAAAAAAAACCACCUUCGAUCCGCAACAACAUCAUCUUAUCCUUCUUCAUCAACCUUAAACUGUUUCACCUUAAAAUCUCAUCAUUACAUCCACACACACAAACAACAAACCAUCAGAUCUACCAUGAAUCUCCCUCCAUCGUGAGCUUGUUUAUGUCAUUCCUAACACAACCACAACCUCUUCUGUGGAGUAUGCAUCUCGUUCAUUGCAAGCCUUCAGCGGAAGCAUGUUCAGUGGUGGUGUAAAAAACUCUAUGAGCUUUCAACCUUGAUUGUUAAAUUUUAUCCAUACAUCGGACCAGGGCCGACCCAAUCAUAUCGGAGGCCUCGUUCUAAUUAUAAAAAUAGGCCCAAAUUUUAAAGAAAAUAUAAUUAUAAUAAAUAAAAAAAUAUAUCAAAAAUACAAUUAUGUAUUAAUUAAAAAUAAAUUUAAUUAUAAUUAUUUUGAAUUUUAAUCAAACUUGAUUUUUGUAUGUAUUGAGUUUUUAUCAUAAUAUUUAUUUCAAUUAUUGAGUUUUUUUAAUAAUAUUUUAUUUAUUUUUAUUAAUAUUUAUGAAAAAAAAUUAAAAAUUUCAAAAUUUGGGACCCUCUAAUAUUUGGGGCCCUGUGCUGCAACACAUGCUGCACUUGGACAGGGUCGGCCCUGCAUCGGACCACCGUAUAUGCACUAAGCAAACCCUUCUUGGAAAGCUAAUGAAAACGAAAGAAAAUCUAUUUCAAUACCUAUCCGAGCAUCACUUGCAGUUGUUGAGAGUGAAGGAAAGAGCAUUGAAUUUGUUGUGAUGACCAAAGAAUAUGAUAUGUGUCAACUAGAGGAUGACUAAAAUCAACAUCUUUGUUGUUGAGACUUAAGCAAGAAAAAGUUGUUGUUGAAACCGUAAUAACUCGUUCUCUACAAACGCAACUCAACUUUCGAUUUGUAAUAGUAACAAACUUUAAACUUAACUCUGUUUCGAAACGACUCGUUGGUUACACGUUCAUGUUGGUAUUGGUUGGUUUUCUGUUUUUGUUCCGAUUGUCUCCUGACUUUGGUUUAGUUGUUAUGUUUUUUUGCGUUUUCACAUUAUCGUUAGCUUCGAAUUUAUGCAUUUUGUUGUUUGGCUGCAGAUUUCGGUUCCAUUAUCUUAUUUUUCACGGUUUUUGGAUUAUUUGGUUUGUCGUUUGUUUUGGAUUAUUUUUAGCAUGGUAAAUACCUUUAUAAAUUUUGUAAAUAUAAUUUUUAGUUAUUUUUGUUAGUUUUGAUUACAUUACGUUAGUGGCGUUAAAUCAGACUCAGAUCCGCAGGUACGACAUCGUUCAUAUGUCGUUAGUCUUCCGAAUUUUCAUUUGAUACAUUGAUGACAUGCCGUGCGUUCACUUGUUGGUUUUCGGUUGCGUUUCGACGUUGUGUUUUAAACAUUUUAUUGCAUUACGUCAUGAUUCAUAUGCGGUAACUUUAAGUUACAUGACGUUAUGCUUUUGCGCGUUAGAAUUCAUUUUUUGCAUUGUGAAAUCGAUUUAGAUCCGUGGAUUCGACAAAUUCAUAUUGAUAAAAUAUACCUUGUUUUCGUUUGCUUUGUUUUGGUUGUGACAUUCGACCCGCAAAUUAAAUGUUGGAUUAUAUGUUAUAUGUUGUUGUAUUGUCGGAUUUCUCUCCAUAUAUCAAUUGUAUUUCGCCGCAUUAUGACCUUUUGCAUACAAUAUUCCAUUUGUUGUUGAUACACAUAAACCGACUUUGAGCAUAUUACUUAGAGUUUUACGUGCAUCUAUUGACUUUUUGUUUACUUUAAUUAAUGUUUGUGAGGUAUACUUGAUCACAGUUUGAUAUCGUUUGCAUUGCCAUCAUGUGAAUUAAUCCUCACUUUAUGUUUUCUUUGUUGAGUGUAUUCUACACCAUCUUGUAAUGAUAUGUUUCACGUUAGCAUUGUUUCGAUUCAUGAUAACUUACAACAAUCCAACAUUGUUAAGUUUAAAUCGAACUUGAAACCCUACAUUGGUAGCUUUGCACGUCUUUGCAUUAUGUGACAUUGAUUCACAUCCUCGCAUCAUGAUCUUGAUCCGUUCACAUUCGACUUGUGCUUUACUACUUUUGAUUCAAUAAUAAUGAACGUGUAUUGUGCCUAUGGUGUGUGUGUUGUUAUCUCCUAUCUUUUGGUUUACUCUUAGGCCUUAUUAUAAUGAGACCCUUCUUGGUGCAUGUACACUCACUUGCUUGCAUUUGUUUGUUUGAGUUUUUUUGCUUUAAUUGAUUCAUUAUCCCAUAUCCCCAUUCGACAAAUGUACCUUCAUUCCCAUGACGUGUAAUAAGUUUAUCACUUUAUUUUUUAUUGUCUGUUUUUUCUAACACAAGAAUAAAAUCAACCCCUUUUCAAAAAGAACAAAAAUAAAAACUCGACCCAACAUCGAGUAUUUUCUCCAAGACUAACCAUUUAAAACCCUUCUUUUCAAUUUGUUUCUACCAUUUCCAAUUUCUCGAACUCUUCACUUUCAAACCUUUUCAAACUCUCAAACCAUUAAAUCUCUUGCAAUCGUUAAUCAAAUGCUUAAUCCAACUUCAAGUCAUUUUUACAAUAAAAAUAAAAAACACGUAAUUCUUAUUAAACACUUUUCAAUAAAAUGGAUUAAAGAAACGGGGUGUAGUCCACGAGCUCCUGAGAGUUAGGAUCCGAGAUGUAGUUCUCGUCAAUCCAAACACUCAUCAUCCUCAAAUCAUUUCAAUACGCUUAAUAAACCUCGACUAGCUUCAAGUGCGCUUUCUCAAGAGAAACUUCAAUACAUCUAAGAAUAUCAAAACCCUUUUGCAAAUAAGAUAAAAAAAGGAACGUGGUGUAACCCACGAGCUCCCGAGAGUUAGGAACCGAGAUGUAGUUUUCGCCCUUCCGAACACUCUCAUCGUCCAAAAAUACUUUAAAUCAAUCAAACUCUUUUUUCACCAUUUUGUGAUUGAUCCUCAAACCUUUUUGUGUAAACGAAAGGUACUUUGUCUCAAGACGAUGCAAAAACAAUGUUUUGUCCACUUGAAUGUGUGAGUAAGCUUACGAUGUUGCCCACAAAUGUUGAUUUGUAAAUCCAUUAGACCGUGAUGCAAAUGUUCCCUUCUUCACUUGUUUUGGGUAGCCAACAAUGUUUUCAUCGAUUGAUACAAAGUAGCUGAUAACGCGAAAACACAUCAGAUAAUUGCCUUUACUUACACUCAGAAAUCACAUCAUUUCGAUUAAUAUCCCGAUUUUUGUGCAAGUAUUCGUGUUGUUUUUGUAGGUAUUUAAAUCUCCAUGCAUUAAAGAGCAAAAUGAAGAAAAGGAAGAAAAAGAAGAAGAAACAAGUAAAAAAGCAUAGAAAAACCAGAAGAACAGAAAAAGCAGAUUUUGUUGAUAUGACGAUCGCCACACAUUCAUGACGCUCGUCACGGCCUAGACUGUGACGACCGUCACAGGCCCAUGACGAGCGUCACACGGCCACAAACUGCGCUUUGAAGCAGUCAGCAACAGGCACCCAAAAGUGCCUAUAUUUCCUCCAACAAACUUUUCCCACGAUUUCCUACCCACGAUUUCCUCUCUCAAGACCAAGUGUUCCUUGAAUUCCUCAACUACCAAGACCUAAUGGACACUAUAUAAAGGACUCAAUUGGGAAAAAUUGGAGACGCCUACUUUGAUUUGACGCUCUGCAAUUUAAUUUAUAGUUUUUAGCAUUCAACAUUUUUCUUUCUUUUCCAGCAACCUUGUUUCCGUUGCCUUAUUGUAUUCGCCAUUCUUUUCAUAGUUUCCCUUUUUCAGUUAGUUUUUCAGUUAGCCAUAGUAGUAGUUUCCUACACUGGGGAACUACUACACCUUUGUUUAAUUUUAAGUAUUAAUCUGUAUUGAAGAAGCAAAGCCUACCGACUUGUGGAGGACUGCUCAAGUGCUCCAAGAAUCGUUAUACUAUGUACUUCGAUAUCCAGGUUUUUAUUGAAUUAUUAUUAUUGUUGCCUAUUUAUUGUUAUAAGCAUGUUUGCCGCUGAGUUAAUCUGUUUAUGCCUUGCGAUUGCCUUAAUUAAUAUGUCCGGCUAAACUACCGGUAUCGAUAUGUAGCAACUUAAUUUGAUGGGAUUUAAUAAUAACCGGUGAAAACCCUUUUUCUCAAAUAAACUUUUAGGCUGAAGUUUUUAAUAUGAAUUUAAUUAACUUUAUCACAAAAGCGUGAAAAGCUAUUUAAUACGAUUUUGCCACGAGAGUGGGAAAUUAACUAAGGUGAGAACCAACAAUCGCGAGAGCGUGAGGCUCGAGCUGGAUAGUAAAAAUUAGGCAUUGGGUUUAAAAACAGCGAGAGCACUUUAAAAACAAUUAGAAUUUAUUUAUUUUCAAAAAGUAAUUUUGACUUCAAAUGGGACAGCGAGAGCGUACGUUCUGACUUGAAGUUAUAGGCCAAAUCAACAACCACGAGAGUGUGAGAUAAAGUCUUUUAAAUAAACAUUUUCUACUGAGAGAUAUUUGACAUUUAAACUAUUCACCGGUGACUUAUCGAAUCCCUGACGAUUACUGCGCUGCAUACUGAUUCCUUCCUUUAAUUCUUUCUUAAAAUCGAAAAAUUCCCUUAGAUUUACUAUAUUACCCCCAAACUCUUACUAAUCUAUUCCGUUAGCUAAACAUAGUGACGUUAGUAGCACUAAUUUGACCAUAGGUCCCUGUGGGAUCGAUAUCUUUUAAAACUAAAGCGACUAGACUGUGCACUUGCAGACAAGUAUCCGACAGACUAUAUUUUAUAUAUAGCCACGAAAAGCAUCAUGUUUUUGGCGCCGUUGCCGGGGACCUGUUUUAGUCAAAUAGUGUGAUUCUUCCGUUGCAUGGUAUAGACUAAGAUAAAAACAAAAAAACUAAUCUUCUCUCCUUUUCUUUCCCUGAUUGUAUGCCAAGUACUCGCUCACAAGGCGAUAACUUAGCACCACCAAUCCCCGAAUUAGAGCGUUUCCUAUACGUGAGACGCCGAAUACAUGAAUAUCAACAAAAAUACGGUAUUCCCGAUAUCUCAUUUCCUCUUAAAUCAGAAGAAAAACCAAACAUGGCCGACGAAGUACCAUAGAAUCGUCCUCUCAAAUUCUACGCUACCCCAUCUCAACAAGAACCUCACAACAACAUUGUUGCCCCCGCUAUUAAUCGAAACGAUUUCGAGCUGAAACCCUCACUCUUAUCAGCCGUCCAACAACAUCAAUUUGCUGGAAAUCCAACAGAAGAUCCUAAUGAGCACCUGACCAAGUUUGUGCAGUACGCAGAUACUGUAAAGGCGAAUCGUGUAUCUUAAGAUGCGGUAAGAUUGCGCCUAUUUCCUUUCUCACUAAGAGACAGAGCUUGGGCUUGGUUGCAAUCCUUGCCCUCCAACUCCAUUACAACAUGGGAGGAGCUGAAGAACGUCUUCUUAUCCCGAUACUUUCCGCCGAGCAAAACUGCUAUGCUGAGAGCUCAAAUCAACGGAUUCAGGAAAAAAGAUUUGGAAUCUCUCUACGAAGCGUGGGAGAGAUACUAGGACAUGAUGAGGAUAUGUCCAUAUCACGGUCUAGAAGACUGGAUGAUCAUUCACACUUUUUAUAACGGGCUUCUAUACAACACAAGACUUACAAUAGACGCUGCCGCGGGCGGUGCACUUAUGGAUAAGUCAUACACCGAAGCCUAUCAACUCAUUGAAAACAUGGCCCAAAACCAUUGCCAAUGGGGAGGUGAACGAACUCCAGUGGAAAAAUCCCAGACUAAGGGUGGAAUGUACGAAAUCAGUAGCCUUGACCAAACUCAUUGAAAACAUGGCCCAAAACCAUUGCCAAUGGGGAGGUGAACGAACUCCAGUGGAAAAAUCCCAGACUAAGGGUGGAAUGUACGAAAUCAGUAGCCUUGACCAUGUUCAUGCAAAGGUAGAUCCCCUUGUCCAAAAAUUAGAUAACUUGACCAUACCACCCGCAGCCACCGUGGCUACUGUAACUCCAAACUGUGAGCUAUGUGGAAAUCCUGGACACACUGCACAAGAAUGUCAAAUAUUAGCAGGAGUCCCAACUGAUCAAGUGAACUACACACAAGGAAAUCCCUAUUCUAAUACUUACAACCCUGGUUGGAAAAACCAUCCCAAUUUCUCGUAUAAGAAUAACAAUGCCCUUUAUGCACCUGGCCAAACACCAGUUGUUCCGCCUGGAUAUCAAAAACCAGCCAAUAAUGCUCCUAACAUGCCUAGGAAGUCAAAUCUCAAGUUGAUGAUGGAAAGCUUCAUAGCUACUCAAGCUCAAACUUUGUUCCUGAAGAACUUGGUUUUGUAUGUAUGAUCGCUCGUUGAAUAACAACUAGCGAAUAAAGUAGACGCCUUAGCCACCCACAAUAAAAUGCUUGAAACACAGAUUUCACAAGUGGCUCAAUAUCAAGCAUCUACAGCCGCUCCAGCUGGAACAUUUCCUGGACAGCCGCAACCUAAUCCGAAGGGACAUGCAAAUGCCGUUAUAUUGAGAAGUGGAAAAGUAGUAGAUGGACCCGUAAAUCCGAGACUCCAAAACCCUGCCAUGUACCAAAAACCAGAUAAAACCUCAACUGAGCAGGUGAAUGAACCAAAGGAAACAGAAGAUACUACCCAGGAGGCCGAAGAGAAAGAGAAACCUUAUGUGCCUCCACCUCCUUAUAAACCACCCAUUCUGUAUCCUCAAAGACUCAAAAGUUCUAAAACUGUGAAUCAAUCUAGGAAAUUUGUUGAGCUUCUGAAGCAAUUAAACAUUACGAUACCCUUUACAGAAGCCAUCAUACAAAUGCCUUCCUAUGCCAAAUUUCUUAAGGAAAUCAUAUCCAAUAAGAAAAAGAUUGAGGAUGACGAAACAGUUACACUUACUGCCGAGUGUAGCGCCAUAAUCCAGAACAACAUGCCUCCCAAACUAAAAGAUCCGGGUAGUUUCUCCAUACCCUGUGUCAUUGGAAAGUUCGUCAUAGACAAAGCUCUAUGCGAUCUAGGAGCCAACAUUAGCGUAAUGCCCCUAACCAUUUGUAGAAGGCUCAGUAUAAGAGAGUUAAGACCGACAAAGAUGUCCGUUCAAUUAGCUGACCGCUCGAUUAAAUAUCCUGUUGGUAUACUUGAGAAUGUCCCAGUUCGUGUAGGUCAAUUUUACAUUCCUACCGACUUCAUAAUCAUGGACAUUAAAGAAGAUGCCAGUACACCUAUCAUUCUAGGAAGGCCAUUCUUGGCUACCGCCGGAGCCAUCAUAGACGUAAAGAGAGGUAAGCUGACAUUCGAAGUUGGAGAGGAAAAACACCUAUCAUUCUAGGAAGGCCAUUCUUGGCUACCGCCGGAGCCAUCAUAGACGUAAAGAGAGGUAAGCUGACAUUCGAAGUUGGAGAGGAAAAGGUUGAAUUCAUCUUAACCCAAUUCUUACAAGUGCCAGCUAUAGACGACACCAGCUAUCUGCUUGAUGUCAUAGACAAAUGCGUGAGAGAGAUGGAGAUGGAAGAAACCACGUAUUCUGAAAUAAUGAAAACCCAAAUCCCUCAAAUCCUUGAAGACAAUAAUUGGCAUGAACUGUACCAAAACGAAAGUCUAAGCGAAUGCUUAGCACUUACACCCGACCACAUGCCAUGCCCAAAGAAACCUGACUUGGAAUUAAAAACACUACCAAAGAACCUAAGAUAUGAAUUCCUAGACGCUGAACUGAAAAGACCAGUAAUAGUCAAUGCUGACUUAGGACAGAUGGAAACCGAGAAAUUAUUAGAUGUCCUAAGAAAGUAUCCAACAGCGUUAGGAUAUAACAUCGCCGAUCUAAAAGGAAUAAGUCCUUCGAUCUGUAUGCAUCGUAUUAUGCUGGAGGAAGACUCUAAAACCUCUAGAGAGCACCAGAGAAGGAUCAACCCAAUUCUAAGUACCGUAGUCAAGGAUGAAGUAAAGAAACUUCUAGACGCAGGAAUCAUAUACCCAAUCUCAGAUAGUCAAUGGGUUAGCCCCGUUCAUGUAGUACCCAAAAAAGGAGGUGUUACAGUUGUUAAGAACGAGAAGGGCGAAUCCAUAACACAAAGAGUGGUGACCGGAAGUAGAAUGUGUAUUGACUAUAGAAAACUGAAUAAAGCCACUCGUAAAGAUCAUUUCCCUCUACCUUUCAUAGAUCAAAUGCUUGAACGACUGGCUAAGCAUUCUCACUUCUGCUAUCUAAACGGUUAUUCAGGAUUCUUUCAAAUCCCAAUCCAUCCUGACGACCAAGAAAAUACUACCUUCACAUGCCCGUAUGGUACAUUCGCCUACCGACGAAUGCCAUUUGGCCUAUGUAACGCUCCCACAACAUUCCAAAGAUGCAUGAUGGCAAUCUUUACAGAUUUUAUAGAUGACAUCAUGGAAGUCUUCAUGGAUGAUUUUUCUGUUUGCGGUCAGAGUUUUGAAGGAUGUCUAUCUAACCUCGAAAUGGUACUCGAAAGAUGCGUAAAAGUAAACCUCGUACUAAACUGGGAGAAAUGCCAUUUUAUGGUUCAACAAGGAAUUGUAUUAGGUCACGUGGUAUCUGAUAGAGGAAUCGAAGUGGACAAAGCUAAAAUCGAAAUUAUAGAGAACCUUCAACCUCCGAAAACCGUUCGGGAGAUAAGAAGCUUUCUAGGACACGCCGAUUUCUACCGACGUUUUAUUAAAGAUUUCUCAAAAAUAACCAAACCACUUACAGGAUUAUUAAUGAAGGACGCUGACUUCAUAUUUGAUGAAAAAUGCUUAACAACAUUCAAUCAACUGAAAACAUCUUUAAUCACCGCACCCAUAAUGCAACCACCUGACUGGAGAUUACCAUUUGAAAUCAUGUGCGAUACGAGUGAUUACGCAGUGGGUGUAGUACUAGGACAAAGGAAGGAUAAGAAGCUUCAUGCUAUUUACUAUGCGAGUAUAACACUUGAUCCUGCCCAAAUGAACUACGCCACCACUGAGAAAGAACUUCUAGCUGUCGUGUUCGCAUUGGACAAAUUUCGUUCCUACCUGGUGGGGGCGAAAAUUAUCAUCUAUACCGACCACGUUGCUAUUAGAUAUUUGUUAAGUAAGAAGGAUGUCAAACCAAGACUUUUAAGAUGGAUCUUGCUCUUACAAGAGUUUGAUUUAGAAAUAAAAGAUAAGAAAGGUACUGAGAACGUAGUAGCAGACCACUUAUCUCGUAUCGAAGGGAACAAGCCUGAACAAAUCCCACUUAAUGACGAUUUCCCUUACGAACGACUCAUAGCCCAAAUGGAAAGUGAUAUGUCUGAACUGACAUUAAGCGAUACAGAAAUAGAAGAAUCCAUGGAAGAAGUACACGCAAAUGCAACUCUGCCAUGGUACGCUGACUUCGUCAACUACCUAGCCGUCGGAGUACUUCCGCCGGACCUAUCUUAUCAACAAAAGAAGAAGUUCUUUCAUGACCUAAAACAGUAUUACUGGGAUGAACCCCUUCUUUUCAAAAGAGGGACCGACGGUAUUUUCCGUCGAUGUGUUCCUGAGGAUGAAAUCGAAGAUAUAAUCUCUAAUUGCCAUUCCGCCCCCUAUGGAGGGCAUGCAAGUACCUCAAAGACCUGCACUAAGAUCCUGCAAUCCGGCCUAUUUUGGCCUACCCUAUGGAAAGACAUCCAUAACGCGGUUAUAAAAUGCGAUCGGUGCCAACGCACUGGCAACAUCUCAAGACGCGAUGAAAUGCCACAAACAAGAAUCUUAGAAGUCGAAGUCUUUGACGUAUGGGGGAUUGACUUCAUGGGACCCUUCCCAGCUUCUUUUGGUAAUAAAUACAUACUCGUUGUUGUCGACUAUGUCUCAAAAUGGAUCGAGGUUGUAGCCUCUCCAACAAAUGACACACGAGUAGUAAUCAAGCUAUUCAAAAAUAUUAUCUUUCCCAGAUUUGGUGUGCCGAGAAUAGUAGUUAGUGAUGGUGGCUCCCACUUCAUAUCGAAUAUAUUUGGAAAACUCCUCCUGAAGUACGGAGUACGACACCACGUAGCAACACCGUAUCAUCUACAAACUAGCGGGCAAGUCAAAGUCUCAAAUCGAGAAAUAAAACAAAUUCUUGAGAAAAUCGUAGGAACAUCCAGAAAGGACCGGACGGCUUACAAAACCCCGAUAGGAACCACACCCUUCAAACUAGUUUAUGGUAAAUCAUUCCACCUCCCUGUAGAACUGGAACAUAAAGCGUAUUGGGCAAUUAAAACCCUUAACAUCAACUACACUUCCGCAGGCGAGAAACAGAUUCUGGACAUCCACGAAUUAGAAGAGCUCCGGUUGGACGCUUACGAGAAUGCCAGGAUCUACAAAGAACGAACCAAAAGAUGGCAUGACAAACGCAUCUCUAGGAAGGAGUUUAAAGUCGGCGACGUAGUGCUGCUAUUUAAUUCAAGACUUAAACUCUAGACGCUUACGAGAAUGCCAGGAUCUACAAAGAACGAACCAAAAGAUGGCAUGACAAACGCAUCUCUAGGAAGGAGUUUAAAGUCGGCGACGUAGUGCUGCUAUUUAAUUCAAGACUUAAACUCUUUCUAGGAAAACUCAAAUCUCGCUGGUCUGGCCCUUUCGAGAUCACCAAGGUUCUAACUAGUGGUGCGAUAGAGAUAAAAGGUAGAAAUAGUGACCCUUUCAUAGUAAACGGGCAGCGCCUAAAGCAUUAUCAUAAUACAGAAAACAGAGACUAUUCGAACAGUCUCAGACUCAUAGAGCUGCCCGCUCAACCCUAAACCUAGUACAACACGACACUACUGUCGAACUUCUGACAUUAAACAAAGUGCUUAGUGGGAGACAACCCACCUUAUUUCUUUUCGUUAUUUUUCUUACUAUCUAGUUUCUCCUUUCUUUACUUUUUCUUUGUUAUUUUUGUUUGCUCCCCCUUCUUGAUUCUUUGCAGUCACUCUUGCUGUUUCUAGUAACUAACUUAGCUAUAUUGGAUACUGACUAACAGGAAAAUUACUAAUUAGUUAGUUAAUUACAUUCAUCAUGCAACAACCAGAGACAAUUUUUAGAGGUCGAGUUCAACGCAAGCGAUAUGAUUAUCUAGCCAGGAAGAAUAUGGCAUUGACCAUAUAUUAUGAUGGACCGACCAUGGAUAAAUUAGGCAUCCGAGAUAGCAUCCUAUAUAUGUUUAACCAGCUGGGGUGGGAGAACGCAACCAUUAAGAGACGGUUUGUCACGUACGCCGUGAGCUAACCUUAGAAUUCCUGAGUUCCCUUGUAUACAUCCCUGAACAUGGGGGUUCGACAGGACUUAACAAGGGUUAAAUAUCCUUUAGGUUAUUAUUUUAGCAUGGACUUCACCUACACCCGUCGAGACCUUGCUGACCUCUUAGGAUUCCCUAGCGGCCCUUUCGUCUUUACUACCCGCCAGGAGGACCUUAUCGAUGACAUUAAUCUCGAUGACUUCUGGGGUUGCAUAUCUGGAGAAUCCAACCCAAACCCGAAUGAGACGCACUCACAAAAGAUCCAUAACCCUGCUAUCCGCUAUUUUCAUACUAGCCCACACCUUAUUUGGUAAGGCAGAGAAUAACACAUUAGUGUCCCGAGAUGAACUCUUCAUCCUGCUAUGUGUCGAUCAAGGUCGACACGUCAAUAUAGUAUCAUUCAUGAUGGAAAGAUUUGUCCACCUUGCUAAGAAUAAUCAUACCCCACUAAUCAUAGGAGGCCUAGUUACCAUGAUAGAAGACGCUAUAGGACUUGUACGCCCACUUUAUGAGCUUAUACCUUUUGGAAACAUCCGCCCAAUGGAUAUCGACUUUUGCUUUAACCGCAGAAUCAUAGGUAACAUACCCUGCCUAUGGAAACUAAUAGAUUAGUCAUUACUUCACCUUCGACUUUUCACCUUGCCUAACCAUGAGAAAACGAGUGUUCACAACCGAGAUAACUGGCUCUAUGACUUAGAGGAACACCCUAUCAAUCCACCUUCACCUCCCACUACACCGCCCAAAUAUGAGUGUGUUAAUGACCCUAUCCUUAAGGAAGAAUCUGACCCUGAAACACCUCCCAACUAUUAUAACAUCGCUGAACCGGUUCCUCAUUCUUGUGCUGAUAAUCAUGCCAUGCUCAUCACCCGUCUGAAUACUUUCCAAGCUGACAUCACCAUUGUGAAAGAAGAGAUAAAGCUCAUACGCUUUGAUGUCCUAUGCCUGAUGGAUAUAGCCGUUGAGCAGUUUCAUUAUCUGAACGAAGCUGUUGCUGCAUUGGGACAAAAACGUGGCUGAAAUUUCUGACCACUGAUUUCUCCUACUCGCACUAAGCAAUGAGGACACUGCUUUGUUUUGUGUGGGGAGGAGCACUUUUAUUUAUUGCAUUACUUUUGUUCUAUUGUUUUCAUUUGCUAUGUUAUCGCUACAUUUUUUUUCUAUGAUACAUCCAAUUUCAAUUUAUUAAUUCAAUUGUUAUUUAUUUAAUUAAGCUUAUUUCAUCUAUUUAUUUAUUUCUGCAUUUAGCUAUUAAAUUCAUAUUGCUUAGCUAUUAUUUAUGCUGCUAUUCUGCUGUGUUCUUCUGUGUUGAGAUUUUUUUUGAACUUAGCGUGUGACGACCGUCACUAUAGGGUGACGUUCGUCUCACAGACGUGACGACCGUCACGAAUCUGGAACGAUCGUCACACACAUGAAAGUGACCGUUACGAGCAAGUGACCGUUGCAGACGACCGUUACGCAUCCGCUGCUCGUGACGACUGUCACACCCCUAUGACGACCGUCACAAAUUCUAGAGAGCUCGCCUAUAAAAGCAGACACUUUUUCUCCCUUUUCUCCUCACCAAUAUUCGCUCUCCUAUAUUCUGAUCAUCAUCUAUUCAAUUCUUCACUAUUUUUCUGCGAGCGCAUAACUCACAAACCUUCCACCUCACCCACCAAUACCAAAAGUUUCAUCCAACUCAUCAAAUGGCCCGUCAAGAAAGAGGCACUCCCGACCUAUCAACCGUCACAUUCCGUGAUGGAGAAGCCGGCGAAUGCCAAAGGAGCAACUACCUCUAAUUCUAUCAACGCUCCGUUUAAGCCACGAGGUAUGUGGAUCAUGAAUGCCUAAGGGAAUUAGGACUUUUGGAGGGUGUGGAAUGGAUGCUAGCUGCCUCCAGCUUGACGCAACUCUGUACAACACCGCAGCCAACCUACGAAGCAUUGACCCUGGAAUUUCUAAGUUCCUACUCUUACAUCAUUCCACCUGGUGCUACCAAAUAUCUCACCGGUGUAGCCAUAUUCAGAAUGUUCGGCAUCGAGUAUUCCCUUAAUCAAAUCUUGAUUGCAAGAAUGCUUGGUUUCCGACAUGGAGAAGGAAUCCAUUGCUGCAUUCCAGAAGGAUGGUCUGAUAUAGCAUUCCAAGUUUGGCACAACCUCACCCACAUGAACGCAACGAGCUGGGAUACGCUUAACGCAACCUACAUCCACAACCCGACCAUCAGAUACUUUCACAGAGUCCUGGGGCACACAAUUUUUGGAAGAGUCAGCAACCACAAGGUAAACUCUAAGGAACUUUUCCUUCUUCACUGUGUGUUUGCCCAAAUUGCGUUCAAUGUUACUCUGUUCCUACUAGCCAACAUCCAGGCUGCUUGCAUGAGAGGCAGCCAAGCGUUUUGUUAUGGGGGAAUUAUCACCUCCAUAGCAUUGGGCUUGAACCUGGGAGAUAGGCUAGCCAACUUACCAGCCCUGGAAGCCGAAUUCCUCGACAUCGACUACUGUCGUGCCUCACACCUAAUUAAAGCAAGAGAUGAUGGGAAGUAUCAUCCUGUUGUCAGAAACAAGACGGUAAAGAGCAUCAUCAUGCCCAACAGGAACCGCACAGAUCCAUGAGAAAUGACAAAUUGGACCUUUGAUCUGGAGGCCCCCGAGCCAACUGAUGGAAAUCCUGGUAAUGGUACAGAUGAAGUCGAAGAAGAGCUUGAUAGAGGCAUGCCCCAACCAUCUCAAGAGCACGCUGUAGAGACCUCCUCCCGAGGACAAAGAAGAAGCGAACGAAGACCCGCCUCCAUGGAAAACAUCUACGCCGAGAUGUUGAGACACAACCAAAUCAUGGAAGACCGCCAAACUGAAAUGAUGCAAGCAAUCCAGCAAAUGCAGCGGGAUCAACACGAUCAUGCUCACUGGCAUGGUCAGGGGAUGGCGGAACUUUCAGACCAGAUGAGUGCCCUGACAUAUCGCGUAGAUGCCAUCCAGGAGUACACUCAGCACGUAGGAUUGGAUCCUACCCAGCGAGGACGAGGUGAGCGCGCAAGAGCAAGAGCCAAAGCACGAAGAAGCCAACCGCGUAAUGAUGAGCAGUGAUUUUUUUGUUUCUUUUCCUUUUUUUUACUUAUGUAUACUGUCGCAUUGAGGACAAUGCAAUUUUCAAAUGUGGGAGGAAAUCCUUAUCACUCCUCUACUUGUUUCUAUUGCUAAUGUUUUCAGCCAAUACAAAAAUUUUUGCUUGUCCUUUUUCAAUCAUUUACACAUAUUUUGGCAUAACAAAAAUUUUCCUUAAAAUUAAAUGCAUACCCUAUAAGUACAUAGGUUGUCCCGAGGAGGCUUUGUCAGGAAAACCGAGAAAGAUGUAACAAGAUUGAUACCGUCCCGACACCCUAGACCCCCUAUUUCUACGAGAUCAGUUUGAAUAACCAUUAUACCGACACCUUAAGUCUCCAUUCUAGAUUAACCCCUAGUAGUUUAUACUAGCAGUCAGCACCGUCUCAAGCGCAAACCACGUGGAGAGCCGGUGACCAUUAUACCGACACCUUAAGUCUCCAUUCUAGAUUAACCCCUAGUAGUUUAUACUAGCAGUCAGCACCGUCUCAAGCGCAAACCACGUGGAGAGCCGGUGAAUAUAAGUGUUUGAUGCCUACAAAUCAAGAAACUCCUUCAUACUGUUGCUAUCAAGAAAUUGAUAAAAAGAACCAUUACAAAAGGUUGUAAAGUUAUGCAAAAAGAAGGAAUAAAAACCCCAGUUGGUUGGUCCAGAGGUACCUGGUACUGGACUCGGUAGGGCGAACUACGGUUCGAUCCCCUACAACCUUCAAAUGGGAUAUAUAAAGGGGUACCACACUAGUGUACCAGACCCCCAUGCUAAGAAAAGGAUCAAAGUCACUAACCGGCUACUUCACUAAGUGCGUGCGGAGGCAAAAGGCUUAAUGUGAUUGCGCUAGAAUGAAACCGGGUGAAAUAGAAAUAGAGACACUAGGUCGAGCUAUAAUAGCAUGAUUCGAACUGGCUUGUGUAAAGGAGAGAUCUAUGAUAAAGCUGAAAGCUCGUGUCAUCACAGUAUCUUUGGUGUUUCACUCAAUAUCGGACAUCCUAACGAGCUAUAAUAGCAUGAUUCGAACUGGCUUGUGUAAAGGAGAGAUCUAUGAUAAAGCUGAAAGCUCGUGUCAUCACAGUAUCUUUGGUGUUUCACUCAAUAUCGGACAUCCUAACAAUCCACCUGAUAACCACGUAUGAACAGGUAGUGUAUCUGCGCUUAAAUUCUAUUUUUCAAAUUGUGUUUGCUUGAGGACAAGCAAAGAUUCAAGUUUAGGGGAGUUUGAUAACGCGAAAACACAUAAGAUAAUUGCCUUUACUUACACUCAGAAAUCACAUCAUUUCGAUUAAUAUCCCGAUUUUUGCGCAAGUAUUCAUGUUGUUUUUGCAGGUAUUUAAAUCUCCAUGCAUUAAAGAGCAAAAUGAAGAAAAGGAAGAAAAAGAAGAAGAAACAAGUAAAAAAGCAUAGAAAAACCAAAAGAACAGAAAAAGCAGAUUUUGCUGAUAUGACGAUCGCCACACAUUCAUGACUGUUAGUUGUAAUUUUAAGUGUCGGGUUUUUGUUAUCGUAUCCACAGGGAUUGUAAGAUAUCACCGCCGUUCGAUGGUUGUAUUAAUUCUAGCUUUAGGUAACAAUAGGGUUUUGGUUGUUGUCACGUUAUCUUGCAUAAAAUGUAAUAAAAUGCGGUAAAAAUUAUGGUUUGAAUAUUUGAGAAUAUUGCCAAAGUUAGGGUUCAACGAUCACUUUGCAUGUAUUUGUUGCUCAACAAUCUUAUCAACUUCUUUAGAUGAUAAAUUAUUUCACAAAGUCCUCCCAAUGUGUUUCUCUCGAACACACAUUGUGAGUUUUCCCAUUUUGAUCCAUUGUUUAUCUCUAACACAAUCUAUCAAAAUGACAACUUUUUGGUUCAACCUUAUGGUGAACAAAAUCAUUCAUUACUAUCUCUAGCUAACAAACAAGAUUGGAUGAAAACCUAGGUUAAGAGUUGGUAACAUCUCUUCGAUCAUAAACCAACACAAAGAGUUUUGAAUAAGAACAAAGUUUUCAUCAUAGAUUCACCAUUAAAGAGUUUACAAAUGAAGAUCCUUACAUUUACACACAAAGCUAAUGAUCAUCUACAUCUAACCUUGACAAAUGAGGACUUAGCUACUCAUUUUCAUGGUAGCUUGGUCGGCAAGUUUCGGAAGAAGGUUGAUCAACAUCCAAGUCGAAUAAUCAGAUUGGAUGGGAAUCCACCUUCUUUUUGUAAAAGAUGGUUAAAAGUGAAGAGAAAUGAAAUCUAGGUCAAAAAGAUCUCUAGAGCAAAAGCUGGAAAAUAUCUAGAAAAGUACAAAAGUAUGAAAAGAUGAAGUAUGGCUCUCAAAGUGGCACUUGCUACUUAUAGUGUUGUUCUGGGCUGUCAUGCUCGCUAGGCGAGCAGACUGCUUCGCCUAGCGAGCCCCAAAAUAAGGCACCUGAGGCAUCUGCGCCCAGAGAAACAGCCUUUCCCAGACUGUCAUGUUCGCCUAGCGAACAAAACCUUCGCCUCACGCUUCAACCUUCGCUCCAGCGAGGUUGAGAGGUUUUGCUAUGGAAUCCUCGCUGGGAACUCGCUAGAGCCUCGCCUAACGAGUGAGUGCUGGCUGCGCUUUUACCAAGUCUGGAAGUGUUCGCUACCCACCUUGCUAGGCAGCUCGCCUAGCGAGUUUGGUCAUGUUUGCCACUGUAAAUUACUGGAGCAUUUCGCUGGACUCUCGCUGGACGCUCGCCUAGCGAGUGUUCGCCACAGCCCUCGCCUAGCGAGUAAGCUGAUGAAUGCUUGUUUGAUUUGAUCCCUUUGCCAAAAUUUCUUGUGUCUUCACUUUCUUAUUAUUUCAUGCUACUUCCUGCACAAUAAACACAAAUCAAGAGGUACCAAGAUCGUUUAUCAUUGAAUUGCAUUUCAUCUAAAACAAGGGUGGUUUUGAACAUUUUAGCAAGGAAAUAGAGUGAAAGAUACCCAUAUUUGAUAGCUCAAAUUAGCACUUUUGGGUAUCUAACAAUGACGCUCGUCACGACCCAGACUGUGACGACCGUCACAGGCCCAUGACGAGCGUCACACGGCCACAAACUGCGCUUUGAAGCAGUCAACAACAGGCACCCAAAAGUGCCUAUAAUUCCUCCAACAAACUUUUCCCAUGAUUUCCUCUCUCAAGACCAAGUGUUCCUUGAAUUCCUCAACUACCAAGACCUAAUGGACACUAUAUAAAUGACUCAAUUGGGAAAAAUUUGGGACGCCUAUUUUGAUUUGAUGCUCUGCAAUUUAAUUUCCAGUUUUUAGCAUUCAGCACUUUUCUUUCUUUUCCAGCAACCUUGUUUCCGUUGCCUUAUUGUAUUCACCAUUCUUUUCAUAGUUUCCCUUUUUCAGUUAGCCAUUGUAGUAGCUUCCUACACUGGGGAACUACUACACCUUUGUUUAAUUUUAAGUAGUAAUCUGUAUUGAAGAAGCAAAGCUUACCGACUUGUGGAGGACUGCUCAAGUGUUCCAAGAAUCGCUAUACUCUAUACUUCGAUAUCCAGGUUUUUAUUGAAUUAUUAUUAUUGUUGCCCAUUUAUUGUUAUAAGCAUGUUUGUUGCUGAGUUAAUCUGUUUAUGCCUUGCGAUUGCCUUAAUUAAUAUGUCCGACUAAACUACCGGUAUCGGUAUGUAGCAACUUAAUUUGAUGAGAUUUAAUAAUAACUGGUGAAAACCCUUUUUCUCAAAUAACCUUUUAGGUUGAAGUUUUUAAUAUGAAUUUAAUUAACUUUAUCACAAAAGCGUGAAAAGCUAUUUAAUACGAUUUUGCCACGAGAGUGGAAAAUUAACUAAGGUGAGAACCAACAAUCGCGAGAGCGUGAGGCUCGAGCUGGAUAAUAAAAAUUAGGCAUUGGGUUUAAAAAUAGCGAGAGCACUUUAAAAACAAUUAGAAUUUAUUUAUUUUCAAAAAGUAAUUUUGACUUCAAAUGGGACAGCGAGAGCGUACGUUCUGACUUAAAGUUAUAGGCCAAAUCAACAACCACGAGAGUGUGAGAUAAAGUCUUUUAAAUAAACAUUUUCUACUGAGAGAUAUUUGACAUUUAAACUAUUCACCGGUGACUUAUCGAAUCCCUGACGAUUACUGCGCUGCAUACUGAUUCCUUCCUUUAAUUCUUUCUUAAAACCGAAAAUUUCCCUUAGAUUUACUAUAUUACCCCCAAACUCUUACUAAUCUAUUCCGUUAGCUAAACAUAGUGACGUUAGUAGCACUAAUUUGACCAUAGGUCCCUGUGGGAUCGAUAUCUUUUAAAACUAAAGCGACUAGACUGUGCACUUGCAGUCAAGUACCCGACAAACUAUAUUUUAUAUAUAGCCACGAAAAGCAUCAAUAGCUUUCUCUAAAAUCGACCAACAAACAAACAUUUUCUACCCAGAACUACGUAAGCCUUGAGUUCUCUAUUGCAUCUGGACAUACGUGGGAGCAAGAUUUGUAAAUCUUGUCAGGAACAUUAAUAAAAAAUCCAAAAUCAUUUUUUAUUUUCUUUUGGUCCUAUUCUUUUUUCCCUCUUAAUAACUCGAGAGGCCUAAUAUUUCUAAACUAACACUUACACGCAUAACUAACCAAAUGGUUCUCGUUGAGUACAACAGACGUGAGGGGUGCUAAUACCUUUCUUUUGCAUAAUCGACUCCCAAACCCUGACUUGGUUGCUACGACCAAUAUCAUUGUCGUUCUUUAUUGAGUUUUAUCGAUAUUUCCCAUUUCCUUUUUAGGAAUAGAUAAAGUUCGGUGGCGACUCUAUCCAGUCUACCCCGCGAGCGUGCGAUUACGCUUCACUAAGUCGUGUUCUCAUUUUUCGAGGUACGACAGGGGUGAGUUAAUAUUUUUGACCCGUCGAAACCUAAAUGAAACAUGCAUGUCUAUUUUCACCUAUAACUAUAGGAAAACGCGGUUUGGUAUGAAGCACAAACAAACGAAACACAAGAAUUACUAAGAGUGACAAAUGAGUAUGCCUGCUCCGUUUAGGACUACCAUGCAAAAGCUCGUAAUAAAAUGGGGUAAGAGGCAUGCAUAAUUGAGGGUGCGAGUCUAAAACCUUAAUUUUUCCCACACUAAAGUGAAGGUGGGGCGGGUCCGCGAACAUUGAUCUUUUUAAGCUUAAAAAUGUAUAAAAUUAUGUUAAUUCACGUAUCUACAAAAGCCCCAAAAAAACGGGGUAAAGCGGGACGAUCACACUAGAGGGUGACGACAUAAACCCUUGGUCUGUUCUGCACUAAAGUAUGGGCAAAGCGGACAUGCCUAUGGUAUCUACCUGUUUUGAGACCCCUAAGAAUUACACCAACCAUACCUAUGUUUUUGUCAACAAUAACUAUUACAAUCCUGUUAAACCAGCUCAGUUGAUAGCUGUGUAGGGACAUCAAUUGCAGAAGUGUGGAUUCGAACUAUGAUAUCCUAUUUUGUUUAUCUAAUAAAAGGUUAAUUCUAGUCACUAGGUCACUAUUAUAUUUUUAGCAUUUCUAUUUAGUAUGAUGAUUUAUCUUCUUGAAAUUUGUGAAUCAUGAUGUGUAUUACAUUAAAUGGAUGUAUCUUCAGGCUUUUAUGGAAUACAUGGGUGUCACACCGCAAAAAAUACAGAGUCGCCACCUGAUUUUAUUUAUUUCAAAGGAAAGGGAAAAUAUCGAUAAAACCCUAUAAGAAUGGUCUUCGCAACCAAGAGCGGAUUUGGAAGUUAGUUAUGCAAGGGGAAGAUAUUAUCACCCCUCACACCCGUUGUACUCAUCGAGAACCAUCAUGCUUGUUCCGUGCGUAUGGAUAUUGUUAUCUGAAGGUUACUUACUAUCGAUUAAUGAAGAGAAAUUAGUGAAAAAAUAAAAUAGUUAUUAAUGUGCUCGCCAAGGUUUCGAACCCUUGUGCCUACGUAUCCUCAUUCGUGUAAUAAGGAAGUCAAAACUCCGUAGUUCUGAUCAUAAAAAAGAGUAUUUGUUGUUUGUUUUUAGUGGGAAAUGUUAACGUUCAUGUUCUAGCGGUUAACUUUGCUUAUAUGCUCACGUCAUGAGAGGUUUAAGUUUUGUUUGUUUGCAGUAGAAUGGAUGCGCUUGGAUCAUAUUCUAGCAGUUAAACAUUAUUUGUAUGCUCGCGUAUGAGAGACUUAAGCUUCGUUCACGGUAGAAAAAAAGUAACAUGCCCUUUCUGAAAAGGUUUGAACAAGAGAUGAUGCCCAAAGGCAUAAAAUGGAUUUGAUUGGUUAUGUUUAAUUUUAGUAUGGAGACAAGUAUCAGACCACAAGCUAGGUACGACCGACAAUCUGAAUUCUUGGGAGUUGAGAGGAUAAUUUCAUCCUAACCCCUCAUUUUCAUCCAAAGGAAUUUUGAUUGUGAAAUGGUUUGGCGAGCUUAAUCAUCGGUACUUAGAGGCAGACAAGUAUCUAACCCCUGGCUAAGUACAACCAAUAAUCAGAAUACUCGGGAGUUGAAGGGACAAUGGCAUCCUAAUCACACCUUUUCUCUCUCGGAGCACCAGAUUGAACUCAUUUUAUUGUUAAGUAUUUUGAAUAGAAGUCAAGUAAUCGGGCCACAAGCUAGGUACAAUCGACAAUCGAAGUACUUAAGUGUUGUGCAAAAGCACAUACACCCCAUUUUUGCAUUCCAGUUUAUUAAGAAAAGAUUUUGAAAAGGCACUUGACGUUGGAUCAAGCAUUUGGAAUUUUUUGAAAUAAUGUGUGAAGAAUGAGAUAGAGGUAGAGAUAGAGAUAUGUUAAGAAGUAAAAUGGAAGAAUAGAAUGGAUAAUGGUGAUGAGAUACUUGGCAUUGGAUCAAACACUCACAUUACUUUGAAGUGAGUUUGAUUUGGAAAGCACUUGACGUUGGAUCAAGUGUGCUUUUUAUCUUUUGAAAAAUGUAUUUAUAUCAUUUGAUUUUAUCUUUCUAGUUAGCAUGCAUUGAAAGCAUUAAAGGAAAGAUAAACCUAAACUAUUACAAUUUCAUGGGAAGGGGGUAACAUAUGCCCCACAAUGGGGGGAUGAUACCAAACAAUACAAGGGAUGGAAAUGGGAUCAAUACAAGUUACACACUAAGUACCAUGCCUAAAACAAUCAAGUGGCAUGAUGUCCCUAAAUAAACAAUAUAAUGAAAAUGAUAAGUGUAAGCAAUUGUGAUGAUGGGACCACAAUAUGGAUUAAUCUUGAAGUCGCAUGGUCUAAGUAAACACACAAGGAAAAAUGAAGUUAGUAUGGAGUCAAAGUUGAAUGGAAACAUGCAUCAAAGUUCAACCACAUUCAAUGACGAUUUUCAAUCUAAAGGAGAAUGAAUCAAACAUGGAUAAAUAAUAAGGAUUAAUCACAUGAACAUGGUGAGACAUGAUAUCUAAAUAAGGCAUAGUAUCAAAGCAAAUUAAAAUGGAAUUUUCAAUUUAAUAAGAAAAUCACAAUCUAAUGGACAAUUUGAAUGGAAUUAACCUAAUGAUAAAAAUCAUUAUGCAUAGCAUACAAUCAAUGGAUCCAAAAUAACAAGGUGAUUUAAUCAUGAAUCAUCUAACAAUUCCACAAUUUAAACCUAACCUAAUAUCUAAGCUAAGCACAUUGAUUAACAUGGUGAUUAAAUGGAAAUUAAAAUCAUGGUCAAAAACAAUAUUAAGAACCCUAAUAACAUUAACCAUGGCCAAAUUAAACAAAUUUUAGAUCACAAAAAAAAUUAAAAUAUAGUAAAAAAUAUAUUAGAAAAUAAUAUGGAAAAAUAUGAGAAAAAAGAAUGGCAAAAAAAUGUAAAAAUGAAUAACAAAAAAGGGUUGGAAUUGUAGACACGGGUGUAAUAAGGAGAUCCAGCGCAUGCCUAACAUGAGGCCCACCGCCAAUUAGCCAUUGGAAACCAGGGGAUUCAUGAGUAAAACAAGGUGAUGUUCAACAAAGUGAUGAUAAUCCCAUACCAAGUAGGCCCAAAAUGUGACAAAGCAAUAUCAAACAAUCACUCAACAUUCCAGUUCCAAUGAAAAUGAUAUUCAAAUUAAAAUGAAAAAAUAAUGCGCCAACUGAAAUUGAAACAUUCAAACACUCAUAUCAAGAAACCACCAACAACCACAACACUAGAGGUUGCCUCCGACAACGGUGGUGCACCAAGGAUCAAAUAAAGACCACCAUCUUAUGCACAAUGACUCACUGGUGAAAAAUAUGGGGAUGAUUUCACGAAAAUCUCACUCAAAAGCUCAAAUCGAAGGCAACGACAUCAAGAACCCUAGAAGUUCUAGGUUAGAUUAAAUGAAAACUAUGAGGAAUCAAGGCCUAGGAUGUUAGGGCUUUGAUUCCUCUUGAAAACCCCUACAUCUCGAUAACCAGGAAAUGAAGAAAUAAUGGAGGUUUGGGAUUACCUCGCCGGAAAAGACGCUCAGAAAAAUGUCUCAAGUAAGUUCUUCCUCUUCCUUUCUCCGCUCUGUCUUGCUGCGAAACCUCUUAUUCUACUUCUUCCUUUCUUGAAUUCGUGAGUGAGAAUGAAUGUUGAGAGAGCUGAAUCGAGGAAAAAUGUUGAGCUGGUGAGGAUCUGUGAUGAUGAAUGAGGGAGGUUGAUGAUGAUCGAACUCCGGGAUUGAAGAUUAUGUAAAUGUGUGAACUCUGAGAGUAUUGAAAUUCUGAGAUGAAUAAGUGAUUGGAGAGAUUCAUGAUUUGAGAGAAGUGAUUAUGAUAUGAAAUGAAUAGUUAGUUCAAUGAUUAGGGAAUGAUAGAUUAUAUAGUUGGUUAAGCCUUGGGAUUUGUGAGAAUCAAUUAGGUUCAGUUGAACUGAAAUUGUUGAAUUCGAGGGUGAGUUUGUUAUUUUCUGUUUUGGUGAUUUGCUGAUGUCGAGGCAAAGUUAACUAGAAUGUUAGUUAGGUGAUGUAACAAUGAUAGUUAGUUGAGGUUCAAUUAGUUGGUAAUGUUAGGUUAGCUGAAAUGUUCAAUGUUAGGGUUAAUUCAAUUUGAAAGUGAUGAUGUGGUUGCAGGCUUGGCUCGAUUUUCUGUCUUGCCAUGAUUAAUGUGCUUGCAAUGUAUUGUUCAAUGUAUGCUAAUGAAAUGGUUGGAAAUGGCCAAGAGUUGUUGAUGCAGAUGCUUGAUUGAUGUGUAAUAUUUAUUGCAGGUUUGUGCUCAACUUGGUGCAGGGUCAUGAUGCAAGGCCUACUAAGUUGGUUUGCAAUGUUGUCUACUGUUUGCCUUGCCUUGCUACAGGUUUGAUGUGUUGUUGCAACUAUAUGGGUGUUAGGUCUGUUUUAGGCUCAUGAACUUGUAUGUGUUGGUCUUGCAACAUGUUUUACUUUUGUGUACAUGUCCUGACUUGGAUGAACAUUCUGGUCUGUUGGUAUGUAUAUGCUAGGUUGGUGUUUGGUAGGCCCUUGGUUGAUUGAACAUGGUUGCUUGGAUGUAUGCUUUGGUCAUGCUUAUAUAUAUGCAAUGUUUGGAAAUGUUGGUUAUGGUUGCUAGGAUGGAUUGUUUUAGUCAUGGUUUAGGUUGUGUCUGAAAGUGAUAAUGUGUUUUUUCAUUUGGUUAUGUGCAUGCUUACUUGGACUUGUAACAUUGCUUGGAUGGUUUCCAUUUUGUAGGAUGACAUGCACAUGGUGACUUGUAAAUGAAGAAACCAUGCUAGAAAAAAGCAAACAUGGAUUUGGAUGGUGAAUCAAGGAAAAUUGGAUUAGGUUAGGUCUUAGGGUGGUAAAGGGGGGUCAAUUGAGUUUGCUCAACGGGUUGACCAAAAAGUCAACUGUUGACCAAAAGUCAAUUGUUAUAAAAAAUAGUCAAACUUGUAAUUUUUUUGUAUGUAUGGACUUUGAAUAAUCAAUGUAUAAAUGAAAUUUGAUAUUUGGUAUUUGUUUAUGAAUGAAUGGAUUUGAAUGAUAUUGUAUGGAAAUGACUUGAAUUGAAUGUAUGGAAAUGAAUUGUAUGGAAACAUGGACUAAUAGAAAUGAAAUAAAUUGUAUGAAAAUCCAAUGAUACAAGUGUAAGACCUAAGAACCCUAACACCUUGAAUGGACAGUGAAGUGAAUGUGUAUGUUAGAACUUGAAUGAACCAAAGACUAUGGUAUAAACCACCAUGUCACAAAUGAUCAAUGAAUCAAGGACACUAGUAUGACCCAAAGGUAAUGAGACUUGGAUGAAACAUCAAGGACCACAUGGACAACUAUGAGUGAACCAACCAACAACUAGCAAUGACCAGAUGAAAUGAUAAGAUGAAAUGACCAUGGAUGAAAUAAGUGGAAGUUAUGGUGCCAUGAGAAUGGGCUUGGGACCAAAGGAUAACCUUAGGCAAUAGAUGAACAUGUAAUGACUUUAAAUGAACUCAAUUCAACAAAUGAAACCUCAUAACGAACAAAGAACCAGUGACUUUGAAUGGAGUUUGACCAAGCAAGAGAACAUACACAAAUGAAUGAUAGUGAACCAGAUGAAAUUAGGGUUAGAUGCACAUCCUAUGAAGGAUAGCCACAAUUAGUGUUUAACUUCACCAAGAAGAUACACAUGAAACUUCAAAGCAAAACACACACAAGGAUCAAAGGGACAACAAAUUAGGGUUUAACUUGGUUGAGCAACCUCAAGUUGCUAGAAAACCCUAGCUUUUACUAGGUACACACAACUAUGCCUUGAAUCCAAGGUACCUACCCUCUUGUCUUGAACAAUGCCUAUGCAAGUAAAAUGAUUGAACCUGGAGAUAUGCAUGUGAAUUAGGGUUAAAGAUCUAUGUGAACGUUGUGAAGGAUAGAGUAAAUUUUAGAGUUAAGGACCUAGGUGAACAAGUGCAGAAAUGUGGGUUCGAACUACGACAUCCCAUUUUAUUUACUUUUAAAAGAUGAAUUCUAACCACUAGAUCAUUAUUAAAAUUUUUAGCAUUGUUAUUUGGUACGAAGAUUUAUCUUCGUGAAAUUUGUGAAUCAUGAUGUGUAUUAACAUUGAAUGGAUGUAUCUUCAAGCUUUUAUGGAAUACAUGGGUAUUAGUGUUAUAAAAAGAGGUCAAAGUAAUGCCACAUCUCAUUCCUUUUGUUAUCUAAAACAUUUUUCUUAGGAUAAUGCUAACUUGUGCCCUAAGAACACAUGUUAAGAAGUAAUAUAAAAAUAUUUUCUUGAAAUUUAUAUAUCAUUUUUAUUUAAAUUUUAUAAUUAAUGUUUUUAUUACUUUUUUUCAAUAUAAAUUUUCUAUUUAUGAAUCGUUUAAGAUUUUCGGGUACUGUCGGGUACUUCUUUUCUUCUUAAUAGUUACUUUCCCUAUGGUACAAUUCUGUUUCUUACGGAAUAGCAUAACUCCUAAUUAUAGUAUAUUUGACCUUUGAAAAAGAAAGAACUUAUUCCUGCGGAUGCAUUAGGGACAAAAACGAGAAGUACUACCUACCCACAUAAAAUUCAAAUCAUCUGAGUUUGCAUAGAUGCACAUAACACUAGCACUUAGAGUAAACUACAUGUUAAGAACAACAACUCAUCAUUCUCAUUUCAUCAAUUUCCAAUUCUUCCACCAAUUUCCCAAACUCAUUCACUCCAACAACCAACCUAAUAAUGCCACUAACCACCUCCCAUUUGAAACCUUUACAACCAAUUCAAAUUCACUCAUUUCCAUUUACUCCCGCCAAGGCUUAUUCCAGAAAGUUCUCCAAACUUACACCUUAUUAAUAAACUCAUCUCAACAACCAAACCAAUCAACAUUCUCAACCACUUUAUCAUCGUGUACAAAGCUCGAAAGCCUCGAGUUCGGUAAGUUAGUUCACACCUCUAUAAUUAAAAAAGGAUUCGAAUCCGAUUCGUUAAUCCAUCGGAGCCUCGUUCAUUUCUAUACGAAAUGCAAGUGUUUGAGUUCGGCUCGGACAUUGUUCGGUUCGGCAUUGGAAUCAGAUUUGUUGUUGCCUCUCGAUGUAUCUUCGUUGACGGCUUUGAUUGGUGGUUAUGCGAAUGUUGGUCUGUAUGAAGAAGCACUCCACGUGUUUGAUGAAAUGCGGAGUGGUUUUGUUUUGGAUGAAUUGGCGUUUGUGACUGUUUUGAAUGCUUGUGUGAGUUCCGGGAAGUUGGAUUACGCGCGUGAGUUGUUUGAUGAGAUGGAGAUGGGUGGUUGUGAUAAUGUUGUUGUGUGGAAUGUUAUGAUUUCUGGUCAUGGGAAGAGGGGUUAUUAUAAGGAGGCGGUUGGGUUUUAUCGGGAAAUGAGGAAGAAUGGUGUGGAGUCGUCGAGGUCUACGCUUGCGAGUGUUUUGAGUGCGAUUGCUGGGUUGGGUGAGUUUGAUUAUGGUUUGUUGGUUCAUGGAGAGGCUGUUAAGCUAGGUUUUGAGUCGAGUGUUUAUGUGGUGAGUUCUUUGGUUAAUAUGUAUGGGAAGUGUGGAAUGUUGUGUGAUGCGAAGAAAGUGUUUGAUGUUGUGUGUGAAAGAAACGUUGUUACGUGGAAUACGAUUCUUGGAGUUUACGCGCAGAAUGGUUGUUUAAGUGGUGUUAUGGAGUUGUUUUCUGAAAUGAUGGGGUCUGGAAUUGAUCCGGAUGAGUUUACGUACUCUAGCAUUUUGAGUUCGUGUGCUUGCUUUGAAUUCUUAGAUAUCGGGCGGCAGUUGCAUUCGACUAUUAUCAAGAAAAGGUUUACUGAUAAUUUAUGUGUGAAUAAUGCAUUGGUAGAUAUGUAUGGUAAGGCUGGAGCUUUGAUGGAAGCUAGAAAACAAUUUGAGCAGAUGAAAUAUCGAGAUAAUAUUUCUUGGAAUGCUAUUCUUGUUGGAUACGUGCAAGAAGAAGAGGAAACUAAUGCUUUCAACAUGUUUCGGAGGAUGAAUCGAUUUGGCGUUGUACCAGACGAGGUAUCUAUGGCUAGUAUUCUUAGUGCUUGUGGAAAUAUUAAGGCACUAGAAGCAGGACUACAGUUUCAUUGCUUUUCAGUUAAGUUGGGUUUAGAGACGAACCUUUUUGCUGGAAGCUCUCUUAUUGACAUGUAUUCCAAAUGCGGAGGAAUCAAAGAUGCACGUAAAGUUUAUUCUACCAUGCCCGAGUGGAGCGUGGUUUCCAUGAAUGCCCUGAUCGCAGGAUAUGCUCUAAAAGAUGCAAAAGAAGCAAUUAAUCUUUUGCAUGAGAUGCAGAUGUUGGGAUUAAAUCCAUCUGAAAUCACAUUUGCCUCACUCAUAGAUUGUUGUAAAGAACCUCCUAUGGUAUUUUUAGGGAUGCAGCUCCAUUGUGCUAUAUUAAAGAAGGGUCUUUUAUGUGGUAGUGAAUUCUUAGGUACCCCUUUGUUGGGGAUGUAUAUGGACUCACAGAGGAUGGAAGACGCAAACGUUCUUUUCUCCGAGUUAUCUAACCUUAAAAGCAUUGUACUGUGGACAACCUUAAUUUCUGGACAUAUUCAAAAUGAUUGCAGUGAUGAGGCCUUAAAACUGUACCGUGAAAUGCGAAACAACAAUAUCUUACCAGACCAAGCAACAUUUGUAACUGUUCUGCGAGCUUGUGCGCUCUUAUCCUCACUGCAAGACGGUAAAGAGAUGCAUUCUCUAAUCUUUCAUACUGGUUUUGACCUAGAUGAAUUAACUAGCAGUGCCCUCGUAGAUAUGUAUGCUAAAUGUGGAGAUGUAGAAAGUGCUGCAAAAGUUUUUGAUGAACUGGCGAUAAAAAAGGACGCGAUUUCUUGGAAUUCAAUGAUUGUUGGGUUUGCUAAAAAUGGUUAUGCAGAUAGGGCACUGAGGGUCUUUGAUCAGAUGGCUCAAUCAAAUGUUUCACCAGAUGAUGUCACAUUCCUUGGAGUGCUCACUGCCUGUAGUCAUGCCGGGUUGGUUUCUGAUGGUCGUCGGAUUUUCGACAACAUGGUAAACUAUUAUGGAAUUUGUCCGAGAGUAGAUCACUACGCUUGCAUGGUUGAUCUACUUGGCCGAUGGGGUUUUCUUGAAGAAGCUGAAGGGUUUAUUGGCAAACUAGAUGUUGAACCUAAUGCAAUGAUUUGGGCUAACUUAUUGGGUGCUUGCAGAAUACACGGGGAUGAAAAAAGGGGACAGAAAGCAGCCGAGAAACUUAUCGAAUUAGAACCACAAAAUUCUUCUCCGUAUGUACUACUUUCUAAUAUGUAUGCUGCAUCAGGACAUUGGGAUGAAGCUAGAUCUUUGAGGAGAACAAUGAUACAGAGAGAAAUCCAAAAGAUGCCCGGGUGUAGCUGGAUUGUUCUGGGGCAGAUAACAAACUCAUUUGUUGCGGGUGAUUUAUCACACCCUAGUUCUGAUGAAAUUUCACAUGUUUUGAAGCAUCUGACAGCACUCAUGAGAGACAAUAGAUUGCAGGAAGAUGGACUUUCCCAUUCUGGGCAAGUUUGUUGAUCAAAAUAAUGGGAAAAGAAAAAGAUGGAAAUAACUUAUCCUUUAUUUUAUUUUUAAAAUGUUUCAUAUUGUUUUUGGAAAGAGAUAGAAAGGAAAUGAUAAUUCGCAAAGGUCGGAUAAAAUGUAUUCUUAUUAUCUUUUUGUAAAUUGGUAGAAAUAAUAUUUGCAUUCUGUGAUGCAUGAGUAAUGACUUAUCGCUGUUCGGAUGUUUAUUGCUGUGAACUAGAUAUUAUAGAACUGAAAACUGCAGAAAGACCAAAAGACGGCUCUCAUAUGGCAUUGAUAUUCCUAGUAGAAUAUAAACUGCUGCUGUUGCAGAAUGCAUUAUAAAAUUUACAUCUACUAUUCAGAAAACAAAGUUGCACUCUCCAUCUCUUACAUGCUUCCAUACUUCCCCUUUUCUUUGUUCUUAUUUGAACAGGAGAUUCAGUUUCAGCUUUGCUUGGACUGGUUUCUUUCAGGCUCAUAAGGUUAGCUGCUUUACAUUUUUUAUUUUUUAUGAUUUGUUGAUAUGAAUCAAUGAUAUUAAUUAUGAAAUAUCUUUGAAGCUUUACAUGUUAGUUUUCAUCUUAGUUGAAUCAUAUCAUAAUGAUGCAAUUUAUAGGGAUAGGUCCAUUGGAUUUUUUUUUCUAUCACUAGAAAUCAAAGUUGGCACCUCAGAAUUUACAAGCCUCACAAACUUUACAAUGACAAUACACACCAACACUUGCACUAGACCGAGAGCACUUGUUCUGACAACUUAGUGUAUGAAAGAUGAAAUAGAUUUUAUUUUUUACUAGGAGUUAACCAUUAGUUAGUAUUACAAAACAAAUGUUUAUAGUUAGUUAUAUACAUAUAUGCGAACACUUAAUUUAAAUAAAACUUUAAACUUU